This is a non-coding RNA of Paramuricea clavata, 106 nucleotides long. Lineage: Eukaryota; Metazoa; Cnidaria; Anthozoa; Malacalcyonacea; Plexauridae. The record is from the annotation of a GenBank genome assembly.
AAUCGGACCCGGGGUUAGCCCAUAGAGAUUAUAAAUAACACUAUUUAUAUUAUUAUAGUUUAUAGUGUUAUUUAUAAUCUCUAUGGGUUAGCCUGCGUAGCUGGCG